Molecule: ribosomal RNA, 496 nt
Filed under: uncultured bacterium
Lineage: Bacteria
Description: partial 16S ribosomal RNA
Rfam family: Bacterial small subunit ribosomal RNA
Source: RNAcentral
GAUGAACGCUGGCGGCGUGCCUAAUACAUGCAAGUCGAGCGAACAGACGAGGAGCUUGCUCCUCUGACGUUAGCGGCGGACGGGUGAGUAACACGUGGAUAACCUACCUAUAAGACUGGGAUAAUUUCGGGAAACCGGAGCUAAUACCGGAUAAUAUAUUGAACCGCAUGGUUCAAUAGUGAAAGACGGUUUUGCUGUCACUUAUAGAUGGAUCCGCGCCGCAUUAGCUAGUUGGUAAGGUAACGGCUUACCAAGGCAACGAUGCGUAGCCGACCUGAGAGGGUGAUCGGCCACACUGGAACUGAGACACGGUCCAGACUCCUACGGGAGGCAGCAGUAGGGAAUCUCCGCAAUGGGCGAAAGCCUGACGGAGCAACGCCGCGUGAGUGAUGAAGGUCUUCGGAUCGUAAAACUCUGUUAUUAGGGAAGAACAAAUGUGUAAGUAACUAUGCACGUCUUGACGGUACCUAAUCAGAAAGCCACGGCUAACUACGUG